RNAcentral lists this unclassified non-coding RNA (387 nucleotides) under uncultured Phycisphaeraceae bacterium. Its description in RNAcentral is "contains 16S-23S intergenic spacer region". Lineage: Bacteria; Pseudomonadati; Planctomycetota; Phycisphaerae; Phycisphaerales; Phycisphaeraceae. The record is from RNAcentral.
UCCGGUUUAACACCGGCAGUCUCACUAGAGUCCUCAGCAUUACCUGUUAGCAACUAGCGAUAGGGGUUGCGCUCGUUAAGGGACUUAACCCGACACUUCACAGCACGAGCUGACGACAGCCAUGCAGCACCUGUGCACGUUCCACUACAAGAGUGUCAUCCCGAUUUCUCGGGACUAAUCCGUGCAUGUCAAGCCCAGGAUAAGGUUCUUCGCGUUGCUUCGAAUUAAGCCACAUGCUCCACCGCUUGUGUGAGCCCCCGUCAAUUCCUUUGAGUUUUAGCCUUGCGACCGUACUCCCCAGGCGGUGCACUCAUCGUUUUUACUUCGACCGAGAUUGGGGUCAGACCCAUCCUCGAUCACGUGCACAUCGUUUACGGCGUGGACUAC